Molecule: ribosomal RNA, 496 nt
Filed under: uncultured bacterium
Lineage: Bacteria
Description: partial 16S ribosomal RNA
Rfam family: Bacterial small subunit ribosomal RNA
Source: RNAcentral
GAUGAACGCUGGCGGCGUGCCUAAUACAUGCAAGUCGAGCGAACAGACGAGGAGCUUGCUCCUCUGACGUUAGCGGCGGACGGGUGAGUAACACGUGGAUAACCUACCUAUAAGACUGGGAUAACUUCGGGAAACCGGAGCUAAUACCGGAUAAUAUAUUGAACCGCAUGGUUCAAUAGUGAAAGACGGUUUUGCUGUCACUUAUAGAUGGAUCCGCGCCGCAUUAGCUAGUUGGUAAGGUAACGGCUUACCAAGGCAACGAUGCGUAGCCGACCUGAGAGGGUGAUCGGCCACACUGGACCUGAGACCCGGUCCAGACUCCUACGGGAGGCAGCAGUAGGGAAUCUUCCGCAAUGGGCGAAAGCCUGACGGAGCAACGCCGCGUGAGUGAUGAAGGUCUUCGGAUCGUAAAACUCUGUUAUUAGGGAAGAACAAAUGUGUAAGUAACUAUGCACGUCUUGACGGUACCUAAUCAGAAAGCCACGGCUAACUACGU